UUAAGCGACUAAGCGUACACGGUGGAUGCCCUGGCAGUCAGAGGCGAUGAAGGACGUGCUAAUCUGCGAAAAGCGUCGGUAAGGUGAUAUGAACCGUUAUAACCGGCGAUGUCCGAAUGGGGAAACCCAGUGCAAUUCGUUGCACUAUCGUUAACUGAAUACAUAGGUUAACGAGGCGAACCGGGGGAACUGAAACAUCUAAGUACCCCGAGGAAAAGAAAUCAACCGAGAUUCCCCCAGUAGCGGCGAGCGAACGGGGAGCAGCCCAGAGUCUGAAUCAGCUUGUGUGUUAGUGGAACGGUCUGGAAAGUCCGACGGUACAGGGUGAUAGUCCCGUACACCAAAAUGCACAGGUUGUGAACUCGAAGAGUAGGGCGGGACACGUGGUAUCCUGUCUGAAUAUGGGGGGACCAUCCUCCAAGGCUAAAUACUCCUGACUGACCGAUAGUGAACCAGUACCGUGAGGGAAAGGCGAAAAGAACCCCGGCGAGGGGAGUGAAAAAGAACCUGAAACCGUGUACGUACAAGCAGUGGGAGCACCUUCGGGUGUGACUGCGUACCUUUUGUAUAAUGGGUCAGCGACUUAUAUUCUGUAGCAAGGUUAACCGUAUAGGGGAGCCGCAGGGAAACCGAGUCUUAACUGGGCGUUAAGUUGCAGGGUAUAGACCCGAAACCCGGUGAUCUAGCCAUGGGCAGGUUGAAGGUUGGGUAACACUAACUGGAGGACCGAACCGACUAAUGUUGAAAAAUUAGCGGAUGACUUGUGGCUGGGGGUGAAAGGCCAAUCAAACCGGGAGAUAGCUGGUUCUCCCCGAAAGCUAUUUAGGUAGCGCCUCGUGAAUUCAUCUUCGGGGGUAGAGCACUGUUUCGGCUAGGGGGUCAUCCCGACUUACCAACCCGAUGCAAACUACGAAUACCGAAGAAUGUUAUCACGGGAGACACACGGCGGGUGCUAACGUCCGUCGUGAAGAGGGAAACAACCCAGACCGCCAGCUAAGGUCCCAAAGUCAUGGUUAAGUGGGAAACGAUGUGGGAAGGCACAGACAGCCAGGAUGUUGGCUUAGAAGCAGCCAUCAUUUAAAGAAAGCGUAAUAGCUCACUGGUCGAGUCGGCCUGCGCGGAAGAUGUAACGGGGCUAAACCAUGCACCGAAGCUGCGGCAGCGACACUAUGUGUUGUUGGGUAGGGGAGCGUUCUGUAAGCCUGCGAAGGUGACCUGUGAGGGUUGCUGGAGGUAUCAGAAGUGCGAAUGCUGACAUAAGUAACGAUAAAGCGGGUGAAAAGCCCGCUCGCCGGAAGACCAAGGGUUCCUGUCCAACGUUAAUCGGGGCAGGGUGAGUCGACCCCUAAGGCGAGGCCGAAAGGCGUAGUCGAUGGGAAACAGGUUAAUAUUCCUGUACUUGGUGUUACUGCGAAGGGGGGACGGAGAAGGCUAUGUUAGCCGGGCGACGGUUGUCCCGGUUUAAGCAUGUAGGCUGAUUGUCCAGGCAAAUCCGGAUAAUCAAGGCUGAGGUGUGAUGACGAGGCACUACGGUGCUGAAGUAACAAAUGCCCUGCUUCCAGGAAAAGCCUCUAAGCAUCAGGUAACAUCAAAUCGUACCCCAAACCGACACAGGUGGUCAGGUAGAGAAUACCAAGGCGCUUGAGAGAACUCGGGUGAAGGAACUAGGCAAAAUGGUGCCGUAACUUCGGGAGAAGGCACGCUGGUGUGUAGGUGAAGUCCCUGCGGAUGGAGCUGAGACCAGUCGAAGAUACCAGCUGGCUGCAACUGUUUAUUAAAAACACAGCACUGUGCAAACACGAAAGUGGACGUAUACGGUGUGACGCCUGCCCGGUGCCGGAAGGUUAAUUGAUGGGGUUAUCCGUAAGGAGAAGCUCUUGAUCGAAGCCCCGGUAAACGGCGGCCGUAACUAUAACGGUCCUAAGGUAGCGAAAUUCCUUGUCGGGUAAGUUCCGACCUGCACGAAUGGCGUAAUGAUGGCCAGGCUGUCUCCACCCGAGACUCAGUGAAAUUGAACUCGCUGUGAAGAUGCAGUGUACCCGCGGCAAGACGGAAAGACCCCGUGAACCUUUACUAUAGCUUGACACUGAACAUUGAGCCUUGAUGUGUAGGAUAGGUGGGAGGCUUUGAAGCGUGGACGCCAGUCUGCGUGGAGCCAACCUUGAAAUACCACCCUUUAAUGUUUGAUGUUCUAACGUUGGCCCCUGACCGGGGUUGCGGACAGUGUCUGGUGGGUAGUUUGACUGGGGCGGUCUCCUCCCAAAGCGUAACGGAGGAGCACGAAGGUUAGCUAAUCCUGGUCGGACAUCAGGAGGUUAGUGCAAUGGCAUAAGCUAGCUUGACUGCGAGCGUGACGGCGCGAGCAGGUGCGAAAGCAGGUCAUAGUGAUCCGGUGGUUCUGAAUGGAAGGGCCAUCGCUCAACGGAUAAAAGGUACUCCGGGGAUAACAGGCUGAUACCGCCCAAGAGUUCAUAUCGACGGCGGUGUUUGGCACCUCGAUGUCGGCUCAUCACAUCCUGGGGCUGAAGUAGGUCCCAAGGGUAUGGCUGUUCGCCAUUUAAAGUGGUACGCGAGCUGGGUUUAGAACGUCGUGAGACAGUUCGGUCCCUAUCUGCCGUGGGCGCUGGAGAAUUGAGGGGGGCUGCUCCUAGUACGAGAGGACCGGAGUGGACGCAUCACUGGUGUUCGGGUUGUCAUGCCAAUGGCACUGCCCGGUAGCUAAAUGCGGAAGAGAUAAGUGCUGAAAGCAUCUAAGCACGAAACUUGCCCCGAGAUGAGUUCUCCCUGAGACUUUAAGUCUCCUGAAGGAACGUUGAAGACGACGACGUUGAUAGGCCGGGUGUGUAAGCGCAGCGAUGCGUUGAGCUAACCGGUACUAAUGAACCGUGAGGCUUAACCU
Molecule: ribosomal RNA, 2899 nt
Filed under: Klebsiella pneumoniae
Lineage: Bacteria; Pseudomonadati; Pseudomonadota; Gammaproteobacteria; Enterobacterales; Enterobacteriaceae
Description: bacterial LSU rRNA
Rfam family: Bacterial large subunit ribosomal RNA
Source: RNAcentral